UACAGAGGGGGCAAGCGUUGUUCGGAAUUACUGGGCGUAAAGGGCGCGUAGGCGGCCAUCUAAGUCGAACGUGAAAUCCCCGGGCUCAACCCGGGAACUGCGUCCGAUACUGGUUGGCUUGAAUCCGGGAGAGGGAUGCGGAAUUCCAGGUGUAGCGGUGAAAUGCGUAGAUAUCUGGAGGAACACCGGUGGCGAAAGCGGCUUCCUGGUCCAGCACCGACGUUCAGGCACGAAAGCGUGGGGAGCAAACAGG
This 253-nucleotide ribosomal RNA is filed under the name uncultured bacterium. RNAcentral's name for it is "partial 16S ribosomal RNA". It matches the Rfam family "Bacterial small subunit ribosomal RNA", at positions 524 to 776 of the family's 1533-position model. The record is from RNAcentral.